GUGCCAGCAGCCGCGGUAAUACGUAGGUGGCAAGCGUUAUCCGGAAUUAUUGGGCGUAAAGCGCGCGUAGGCGGUUUUUUAAGUCUGAUGUGAAAGCCCACGGCCCAACCGUGGAGGGUCAUUGGAAACUGGAAAACUUGAGUGCAGAAGAGGAAAGUGGAAUUCCAUGUGUAGCGGUGAAAUGCGCAGAGAUAUGGAGGAACAACAGUGGCGAAGGCGACUUUCUAGUCUGUAACUGACGCUGAUGUGCGAAAGCGUGGGGAUCAAAC
Molecule: ribosomal RNA, 269 nt
Filed under: uncultured Staphylococcus sp.
Lineage: Bacteria; Bacillati; Bacillota; Bacilli; Caryophanales; Staphylococcaceae
Description: partial 16S ribosomal RNA
Rfam family: Bacterial small subunit ribosomal RNA
Source: RNAcentral